Long non-coding RNA from Populus nigra (black poplar), 1771 nucleotides. RefSeq lists it as uncharacterized. The record is from RefSeq and is a predicted model, not a curated record. NCBI's taxonomy places the organism in Eukaryota, Viridiplantae, Streptophyta, Magnoliopsida, Malpighiales, Salicaceae. The transcript is spliced from 4 exons.
AUGGAACUUCUGUUUUUUAUUAACAGAUUUUGGUGUUUUUGCUUGUUUAUUAUAUCCUCUUUUCCUGAGACUUGCUGGUGUGCUUUCUUGUUGGUCCUUUUCUACAUCAAUUACUUUUUCAUGCAGUUUGCGGACGACCUUGUGUGUAUUUGUUUCAAGAGUGCGGUUGUGGCUUGUGGGGUUGUAUAUGCUGCAGCUCGUAGAUUCCAAGUACCUCUUCCUGAAAAUCCACCAUGUUGGAAAGCAUUCGAUGCAGAGAAAUAUGGGAUUGAUGAAGUUUGUAAAGUUUUGGCUCAUCUGUAUAGCCUUCCUAAGGCACAGUAUAUAUCAGUCUGCAGGGAUGGAGAUUUUUCUUCUUCUAACAAGUCGUCAGAUUCACAACUGCAGCCAGUUCCAAAGGCGGAUGGGGCAUUGUGGAUUGCCUAAUGAUGGAGCAAGUAUUGCUGUUGUUUUCAGAUGGGGCAUUGUGGAUUGCCUAAUGAUGGAGCAAGUAUUGCUGUUGUUUUCAGAAAACAAAGCAACCUCGUGUAGUGAUCAGAAAAGGGAUGAGAACUGCAAACAUUGUAGAUAUUUUCUGCAAUUUCAUCCGAGACAGGGAUGCUUCAUUAUAUAAACCAAAUAACUGAAAUUGUGAUCUCAUGUGCUCUUUUAUAGGAACUUCCAUGGAGUGGCCUACCUGCUAAUAAUGAUUCAACUGAAGCAAAGACAGCUCCAAGUGGGAGUGUUGAAUCUGGUGGAUCCAAGGACCUAACAAAGGUUGCCUCAGAAAUGCUGAAGGAACAUAAGAAGAGUGAUGAUAAAUCCAAAGCUCCUUGAGGUAGAGGCAAGAGAAGAGCUCAUUCCAAGAUCGAGGUCUGAGCACAGAACUUAAGCAAGGGUGACAGGAUCAGGGAGAGAGACAGGGACAGUGAGAGAGGGGAGAGAGGGAUAGGGAUAGGAUAAAGGCCCAGGAUCACGAUAGGGGCAGAGAUUCUGUCAGGGAAAGAGAGCGAGAUGAAACUGAAAGAGACAGGGAUAGAGCUAAGGAUCGAGGUCAUCCUCGUUCAAAGGAUAGAGGAAGAGAAUCAGGGCACUCGGAGAAAUCAAGGCAUCAUUCAUCACACGAUCCUUGUUUCCACAGUUUCUCCUUUUCAUCAAGAGAGAAGGAUCGAUAUGGGCAUUAGUCAUAUGCUUGAACUGCCCGUUGGCUAGUGCAUGCAUGCAUUUCCUAUCACUUCCGAGAGAUUUAUGUACCAGCACGGACUACAAAGACACUACCUGUAUGUAUUAACAUGGUUGUUUUACAUAUUUCGUAUGCGUUCCUUUGUGAGGAGGAAAGGAAGAAGAAGAAACAUCAUGUUAGGACAGGAACAAAAAUUAAAAAACACCGAGUUCCAUUUUGCUAGUUCCCUCAACACUAUCCGCUCUGUACUUGAAACUGGGCCUUUCUGUGCAUAUCUUUUUUUAACCCUUUCUUGUAAAUUAUAAGGUGAUCACGUCAUGGUGGUCUGGCUAACCACACCAUUUGAAGAGGAGGGGAUGCUGGUGCUGGUGCUGGUGCUGGGCUCCUGGCUUGAACUUGCUUCUACAGGUAAAUUAAAAAUGGAGGAGAAUAGCAUGACAUGUGAUGCCAUUAAUGCAACCACAAAAAACAUGCCGCUGUAUUAAAUGCGGUGUCUGCCGGGAUCUCGAAAAGAUAACACUUGUUUCCAAAGAAGGUGUUAUCUCUAUCCAUUUCUUGGGUCUUUGUCAUGUAGAUAAUAAAUGUAGUGUAAAGUGUUUUUUAUUUAAA